AUUGAACGCUGGCGGCAGGCCUAACACAUGCAAGUCGAGCGGAUGACGGGAGCUUGCUCCUUGAUUCAGCGGCGGACGGGUGAGUAAUGCCUAGGAAUCUGCCUGGUAGUGGGGGACAACGUUCCGAAAGGAGCGCUAAUACCGCAUACGUCCUACGGGAGAAAGUGGGGGAUCUUCGGACCUCACGCUAUCAGAUGAGCCUAGGUCGGAUUAGCUAGUUGGUGAGGUAAAGGCUCACCAAGGCGACGAUCCGUAACUGGUCUGAGAGGAUGAUCAGUCACACUGGAACUGAGACACGGUCCAGACUCCUACGGGAGGCAGCAGUGGGGAAUAUUGGACAAUGGGCGAAAGCCUGAUCCAGCCAUGCCGCGUGUGUGAAGAAGGUCUUCGGAUUGUAAAGCACUUUAAGUUGGGAGGAAGGGCAGUAAGUUAAUACCUUGCUGUUUUGACGUUACCGACAGAAUAAGCACCGACUAACUCUGUG
Molecule: ribosomal RNA, 484 nt
Filed under: uncultured bacterium
Lineage: Bacteria
Description: partial 16S ribosomal RNA
Rfam family: Bacterial small subunit ribosomal RNA
Source: RNAcentral